UGGGACUCACGUGCUGCGACUUCCAAGUG
Molecule: non-coding RNA, 29 nt
Filed under: Homo sapiens (human)
Lineage: Eukaryota; Metazoa; Chordata; Mammalia; Primates; Hominidae
Source: RNAcentral